GUAUUCCGCUCCAUAGCGUAUAUUAAAGUUGUUGCAGUUAAAAAGCUCGUAGUUGAAUUUCGGGGUUAGUAGGUUGGUCAUGCCUCUGGUAUGUACUGGUCUCACUGAUUCCUCCUUCCUGAUGAACCUUAAUGCCAUUUAUUUGGUGUUUUGGGGAAUUUGGACUGUUACUUUGAAAAAAUUAGAGUGUUUAAAGCAAGCUAACGCUUGAAUACAUUAGCAUGGAAUAAUGAAAUAGGACGUUCGAUCCUAUUUUGUUGGUUUCUAGGAUUGACGUAAUGAUUAAUAGGGAUAGUUGGGGGCAUUAGUAUUCAAUUGUCAGAGGUGAAAUCCUUGGAUUUAUUGAAGACUAACUACUGCGAAAGCAUUUGCCAAGGAUGUUUUCAUUAAUCAAGAACGAAAGUUAGGGGAUCGAAGACGAUCAGAUACCGUCGUAGUCUUAACCAUAAACUAUGCCGACUAGGGAUCGGAUGAUGUUAAUUUUUUAAUGACUCAUUCGGCGCCUUACGGGAAACA
Molecule: ribosomal RNA, 516 nt
Filed under: uncultured Glomus
Lineage: Eukaryota; Fungi; Glomeromycota; Glomeromycetes; Glomerales; Glomeraceae
Description: SSU rRNA
Rfam family: Eukaryotic small subunit ribosomal RNA
Source: RNAcentral